This 216-nucleotide ribosomal RNA is filed under the name uncultured bacterium. RNAcentral's name for it is "partial 16S ribosomal RNA". It matches the Rfam family "Bacterial small subunit ribosomal RNA", at positions 328 to 539 of the family's 1533-position model. The record is from RNAcentral.
ACGCUCGACACCUACGGGAGGCAGCAGUGAGGAAUAUUGGUCAAUGGGCGCUAGCCUGAACCAGCCAAGUAGCGUGAAGGAUGAAGGCUCUAUGGGUCGUAAACUUCUUUUAUAUAAGAAUAAAGUGCAGUAUGUAUACUGUUUUGUAUGUAUUAUAUGAAUAAGGAUCGGCUAACUCCGUGCUAGCAGCCGCGGUAAUCUGAGCGGGCUGCAAGC